Callithrix jacchus (white-tufted-ear marmoset) is the source of this 301-nucleotide unclassified non-coding RNA. It matches the Rfam family "Metazoan signal recognition particle RNA". From Rfam's summary of the family: The signal recognition particle (SRP) is a universally conserved ribonucleoprotein. It is involved in the co-translational targeting of proteins to membranes. Lineage: Eukaryota; Metazoa; Chordata; Mammalia; Primates; Cebidae. The record is from Ensembl.
GCCUUAAAAAAAUGACAAAGUCUUGGGAGGCUGAGGCUGGAGGAUCACUUGAGUCCAGGAGUUCUGGGCUCUAGUGUGCUAUGUCAAUCGGGUGUCUGCACUAAGUCUGGCAUCAAUAUGGUGACCUCCCGAGAGUGAGGGACCACCAGGGAGCGGGGACCACCAGGUUGCCUAAAGAGGGUGAACUGGCCCAGGUCAGAAACAGAGCAGGUCAAAACUCCCAUGCUGAUCAGAAAUGGGAUCGCGCCUGUGAAUAGCCACUGCACUCCAGCCUGGGCAACAUAGCAAGACCUCGUCUCUA